This 750-nucleotide long non-coding RNA is filed under the name Jatropha curcas. Its description in RNAcentral is "long non-coding RNA (JCUR_LNC001785)". The record is from RNAcentral. Lineage: Eukaryota; Viridiplantae; Streptophyta; Magnoliopsida; Malpighiales; Euphorbiaceae.
AAGAGAUUGGCUGUUGGGCAGCAACUAUUUUAAAUAAUUGUUGUCAUUUUAGAUAAACUAACAUACGAACUAUUUUAAAUAUUAAUGUUGGUUAUUAUUGGUUAUUGCUUGAUAGCUAUAUUCUUGCUAAAUAAAUGAUUCGAUUUUAGACCUUGCCAUAGACUAGAAAUUAUAUCUUUAUGUCAUGGUGAAGAAAUUUAUGAAGCUUUAGUUGGUAUAUGUUUAAAGUUGAGUUGAGUUACUUAAUAGGUGUAUAUUAAAAAUUUAAUUUAAAUUAGCAUUGGUUCUUUGAAUUAUAACGUCUGGAAUGGGUAUUUGAAGUUGUAAAUUAAGUUCUUGUAGGGUAGUGAGUUAGCUAGUGAGUAAAAUGUGAAAAUUUAACCAUGAAGCCUAAACUUUUAAUUUGGCAGCAAUUAUUUCAAUUUAUUUAUUUCUGGAAAGUUGUAAACUAGUAUAGUACAUUGAAGUUAUAAAUUUGAUUUCGAUAGGAAUAGUUAGUUAAUGUUUAAUCCAUGAUUUGGACAUAGAAAACUUUUAUUUCUGCAAGUUGGCAUCAAUCAUUUGAGUUUUUGCGUUGUAUUAGAGGGGCAUAUAUAUAUAUAUAUAUAUAUAUAUAUAUAAACAAGUAAUGUAUAAUGGAUAGAUGAUUUAAAUGGUUUGUUAGUUAUGAUGUUGCUAUUGAAGGAGGAUGAGAAUUAAGUUGAUUGAUUGCCCGACGGAUGGGCUGUGUGCAUUGAUUGAUAAAUAUAU